Small nucleolar RNA from Scleropages formosus (Asian bonytongue), 61 nucleotides. It matches the Rfam family "Small nucleolar RNA U3", at positions 157 to 219 of the family's 219-position model. Rfam says of the family: Small nucleolar RNAs (snoRNAs) are involved in the processing and modification of rRNA in the nucleolus. There are two main classes of snoRNAs: the box C/D class, and the box H/ACA class. NCBI's taxonomy places the organism in Eukaryota, Metazoa, Chordata, Actinopteri, Osteoglossiformes, Osteoglossidae. The record is from Rfam.
UUGAUGAUCGUUCUUGAUCUUUUUUGGAAGGUUAAGAGGGAAAGGACACGUUCUGAGUGGU